GGCAGUCAUAUCACCCUGUAGCCCAAUACUGCUUGCCCACUGAAGCUAAGCAGGGCUGAGCCUGGUCAGUACCUGGAUGGGAGACCUCCUGGGGGCUGGAUGCUGCACACU
This 111-nucleotide ribosomal RNA is filed under the name Sinocyclocheilus anshuiensis. Lineage: Eukaryota; Metazoa; Chordata; Actinopteri; Cypriniformes; Cyprinidae. The record is from RNAcentral.